AUACGUAGGUGACAAGCGUUAUCCGGAUUUACUGGGCGUAAAGGGCGUGUAGGCGGUCUUGCAAGUCAGAAGUGAAAUUCCUGAGCUCAACUCGGGCGCUGCUUCUGAAACUGCAGGACUUGAGUGCUGGAGGGGAUAGCGGAAUUCCUAGUGGAGCGGUAAAAUGCGCAGAUAUUAGGAAGAACACCGGUGGCGAAGGCGGCUAUCUGGACAGUAACUGACGCUGAGGCGCGAAAGCGUGGGGAGCAAACAGGAUUAGAUACCCCGGUAGUCCUGGCAGUAAACGAUGUAUGCUGGGUGUGGGAGUAGCGAUACCUCCGUGCCGAAGUUAACGCGAUAAGCAUACCGCCUGGGGAGUACGGUCGCAAGAUUGAAACUCAAAUGAAUUGACGGGG
Molecule: ribosomal RNA, 395 nt
Filed under: uncultured bacterium
Lineage: Bacteria
Description: partial 16S ribosomal RNA
Rfam family: Bacterial small subunit ribosomal RNA
Source: RNAcentral